CAAAAACACAUGAUUUCAGCUUCCCAUAAAUCACAGAGGGUUUUGCCUAAGAGAAAAAUGCAUGGCAAAACACAUCACGAAUAAACAGUUUAAGGCAAUAAUCAGAUUGCACAAGUAGGUCAAGGAUUGGGGAAGGUGACAUACAAAUUUGCAUUCAGGUGAAGCAUGGAGGGGCAUGUUAGUGUUAGCCUACAUCUGGUGAGAGACAGGAUACCAGCAGUGCCGUUGUUCUCAGGCAAGGAAACUGAAGCUGAAGAGAUAAAGAUCACUUAACUAAGAUCCACAGUGACUAUCAUUUCUCCACCUGAUGUCGAGCAACAUUUUCCAGGAUUGGAAAAUGCUUGGGUUGGAUCAAUUUAUAGUUUAUCAGAUUUGCAAAAUCUCCUAAAGAUGGCCUUGCUCUCUCCUCCAAGGCUGAUGACUGGAAUGGGAACUGAAGAUGAAUAAAUUAAAAGCCUAAAAAGAC
Molecule: long non-coding RNA, 466 nt
Organism: Cercocebus atys (sooty mangabey)
Lineage: Eukaryota; Metazoa; Chordata; Mammalia; Primates; Cercopithecidae
Exons: 2
Source: RefSeq, a predicted model, not a curated record